This 507-nucleotide ribosomal RNA is filed under the name Escherichia sp. Its description in RNAcentral is "bacterial SSU rRNA". It matches the Rfam family "Bacterial small subunit ribosomal RNA", at positions 248 to 749 of the family's 1533-position model. The record is from RNAcentral. Lineage: Bacteria; Pseudomonadati; Pseudomonadota; Gammaproteobacteria; Enterobacterales; Enterobacteriaceae. RNAcentral also lists the same sequence under 1 other name.
GUAGGUGGGGUAACGGCUCACCUAGGCGACGAUCCCUAGCUGGUCUGAGAGGAUGACCAGCCACACUGGAACUGAGACACGGUCCAGACUCCUACGGGAGGCAGCAGUGGGGAAUAUUGCACAAUGGGCGCAAGCCUGAUGCAGCCAUGCCGCGUGUAUGAAGAAGGCCUUCGGGUUGUAAAGUACUUUCAGCGGGGAGGAAGGGAGUAAAGUUAAUACCUUUGCUCAUUGACGUUACCCGCAGAAGAAGCACCGGCUAACUCCGUGCCAGCAGCCGCGGUAAUACGGAGGGUGCAAGCGUUAAUCGGAAUUACUGGGCGUAAAGCGCACGCAGGCGGUUUGUUAAGUCAGAUGUGAAAUCCCCGGGCUCAACCUGGGAACUGCAUCUGAUACUGGCAAGCUUGAGUCUCGUAGAGGGGGGUAGAAUUCCAGGUGUAGCGGUGAAAUGCGUAGAGAUCUGGAGGAAUACCGGUGGCGAAGGCGGCCCCCUGACGAAGACUACGUCAG